AGUUAUAUGCUUGUCUCAAAGAUUAAGCCAUGCAUGUCUAAGUACAAACAUAAAUAAAGUGAAACCGCAAAAGGCUCAUUAUAUCAGUUAUGGUUCCUUAGAUCGUAUUCAUAGUUACUUGGAUAACUGUGGUAAUUCUAGAGCUAAUACAUGCAAUUAAGAAGUGACCAGUAAAAUGGACUCUUCGCUUUUAUUAGAUUUAAACCAAUGGGAGGUGUGUACGCAAGUGCACAUUUUCAACAAACAUGGUUGAACUCUGGAUAACUUGUUGAUCGUAUGGUCUUGUACCGACGACGGAUCUUUCAAAUGUCUGCCCUAUCAACUAUUGAAGGUAGUGUCUUGGACUACCUUGGUUGCAACGGGUAACGGGGAAUCAGGGUUCGAUUCCGGAGAGGGAGCCUGAGAAACGGCUACCACAUCUAAGGAAGGCAGCAGGCGCGUAAAUUACCCACUCCCGGCACGGGGAGGUAGUGACGAAAAAUAACAAUACAAGACUCACAUCCGAGGCCUUGUAAUUGGAAUGAGUACACUUUAAAUCCUUUAACAAGGAUCAAUUGGAGGGCAAGUCUGGUGCCAGCAGCCGCGGUAAUUCCAGCUCCAAUAGCGUAUAUUAAAGUUGUUGCGGUUAAAACGUUCGUAGUUGAAUUUGUGUUCCGCACGGGCAGUACUUUUGAUCGGGCAACCGUGAUGGUACUAUGUCUUAUCUUCUUAUACACCAUUUUUAAUGGUUAUAUGAAAAGUGCGCGAACGUAUUAUCGGCGCUUGUUAUAUGUGCGCAUGCGGUUUCGAUCAUAUGUUAGCACAUAUACUUGCAUAAGCCCAUUUCUGUGCUCUUAACCGAGUGUUGUUGUGGGCCGAUACAAAUUACUUUGAACAAAUUAGAGUGCUUAAAGCAGGCUUGUAAUGCCUGAAUAUUUUGUGCAUGGAAUAAUGGAAUAGGACAUCUGUUCUACUUUCAUUGGUUUUUUAGACCAAGAUGUAAUGAUUAAUGGAAGCCGUUGGGGGCAUUAGUAUUACAACGCGAGAGGUGAAAUUCUUAGACCGUUGUAAGACUGACUAAAGCGAAAGCAUUUGCCAAAGAUGUUUUCAUUUAAUCAAGAACGAAAGUUAGAGGUUCGAAGGCGAUC
This 1127-nucleotide ribosomal RNA is filed under the name Ditomyia fasciata. RNAcentral's name for it is "bacterial SSU rRNA". It matches the Rfam family "Eukaryotic small subunit ribosomal RNA", at positions 21 to 1009 of the family's 1831-position model. Lineage: Eukaryota; Metazoa; Arthropoda; Insecta; Diptera; Ditomyiidae. The record is from RNAcentral.